This 450-nucleotide ribosomal RNA is filed under the name uncultured bacterium. Its description in RNAcentral is "bacterial SSU rRNA". It matches the Rfam family "Bacterial small subunit ribosomal RNA", at positions 354 to 796 of the family's 1533-position model. The record is from RNAcentral.
GUGGGGAAUUUUGGACAAUGGGCGCAAGCCUGAUCCAGCCAUGCCGCGUGAGUGAAGAAGGCCUUCGGGUUGUAAAGCUCUUUCAGACGGAAAGAAAUCUCCUGGGCGAAUACCCUGGGAGGAUGACGGUACCGUAAGAAGAAGCACCGGCUAACUACGUGCCAGCAGCCGCGGUAAUACGUAGGGUGCGAGCGUUAAUCGGAAUUACUGGGCGUAAAGCGUGCGCAGGCGGUGAUGUAAGACAGAUGUGAAAUCCCCGGGCUCAACCUGGGAACUGCGUUUGUGACUGCAUCACUCGAGUACGGCAGAGGGAGGUGGAAUUCCGCGUGUAGCAGUGAAAUGCGUAGAUAUGCGGAGGAACACCGAUGGCGAAGGCAGCCUCCUGGGCCAGUACUGACGCUCAUGCACGAAAGCGUGGGGAGCAAACAGGAUUAGAAACCCUAGUAGUCC